This 72-nucleotide transfer RNA is filed under the name Camelus bactrianus (Bactrian camel). It matches the Rfam family "tRNA". From Rfam's summary of the family: Transfer RNA (tRNA) molecules are approximately 80 nucleotides in length. Their secondary structure includes four short double-helical elements and three loops (D, anti-codon, and T loops). Further hydrogen bonds mediate the characteristic L-shaped molecular structure. tRNAs have two regions of fundamental functional importance: the anti-codon, which is responsible for specific mRNA codon recognition, and the 3' end, to which the tRNAs corresponding amino acid is attached (by aminoacyl-tRNA synthetases). tRNAs cope with the degeneracy of the genetic code in two manners: having more than one tRNA (with a specific anti-codon) for a particular amino acid; and 'wobble' base-pairing, i.e. permitting non-standard base-pairing at the 3rd anti-codon position. The record is from Rfam by way of RNAcentral. RNAcentral also lists the same sequence under 2 other names. Lineage: Eukaryota; Metazoa; Chordata; Mammalia; Artiodactyla; Camelidae.
GAGGGUAUAGCUCAGUAGUAGAGUGCAUGCCUAGCAUGCACAAAGUCCUGGGUUCAAUCCCCAGUACCUCCA